UACCGAAUGUUGUGGAACCUUCCGCAGUGGAAGCUCCCAACCAAAGAUGACCUCUUCCUGAAAGUUAUCGCUCAAAGAUGGGUCUGCGUCUGAUUAGCUAGUUGGUGGGGCAACGGCCUACCAAGGCGACGAUCAGUAGCCGGUCUGAGAGGAUGAACGGCCACAUUGGAACUGAGACACGGUCCAGACUCCUACGGGAGGCAGCAGUGGGGAAUCUUCCGCAAUGGGCGAAAGCCUGACGGAGCAACGCCGCGUGAGUGAAGAAGGCCUUCGGGUCGUAAAGCUCUGUUGUCGGGGACGAAUGUACGAACUAUCAACAACGGUUCGUAAUGACGGUACCUGACGAGGAAGCCACGGCUAACUACGUG
Molecule: ribosomal RNA, 368 nt
Filed under: uncultured bacterium
Lineage: Bacteria
Description: bacterial SSU rRNA
Rfam family: Bacterial small subunit ribosomal RNA
Source: RNAcentral